Molecule: ribosomal RNA, 497 nt
Filed under: uncultured bacterium
Lineage: Bacteria
Description: partial 16S ribosomal RNA
Rfam family: Bacterial small subunit ribosomal RNA
Source: RNAcentral
GAUGAACGCUGGCGGCGUGCCUAACACAUGCAAGUCGAGCGAACACACGAGGAGCUUGCUCCUCCGACGUUAUCGGCGGACGGGAGAGUACCACGUGGAUAACCUACCUAUAAGACUGGGAUAACUUCGGGAAACCGGAGCUAAUACCGGAUAAUAUAUUGAACCGCAUGGUUCAAUAGUUAAAGACGGUUUUGCUGUCACUUAUAGAUGGCUCCGGGCCGCAUUAGCUAGUUGGUAAGGUAAAGGCUUACCAAGGCAACGACGCGUAGACGACCUGAAAGGGUGAUCGGCCACACUGGAACUGAGGCACGGUCCAGACUCCUGCGAGAGGCAGCAGUAGGGAAUCUUUCGCAAUGGGCGAAAGGCUGACGGAGCAACACCGCGUGAGUGAUGAAGGUCUUCGGACCGUAAAACUCUGUUAGUAGGGAAGAACAAAAGUGUAAUUAACUAUGCACGUCAUGACGGUACCUAAUCAGAAAGCCACGGCUAACUACGUG